This is a long non-coding RNA of Neopelma chrysocephalum (saffron-crested tyrant-manakin), 1151 nucleotides long. RefSeq lists it as uncharacterized. Lineage: Eukaryota; Metazoa; Chordata; Aves; Passeriformes; Pipridae. The transcript has 4 exons. The record is from RefSeq and is a predicted model, not a curated record.
GGGGGUGAGUGAGGACGCGGCCCCGCAGCGCCGCCGGGGGCCGGCCCGGCGCUUUACCUGCUCUGCCAGCCCUGCAGGAGGCUCAACUCUUCUUCUGAUGACCACAGUAUUCAGAAGACGUUGGAUGAACAAGGCGUGCUCCUUCAGGAAGCUCAGAUCCUGCUCGCUCAGGAUGAGGAGGAGGUACCUUCAUUUGUCCUCAUAAUGUUACAAUGGCAGCCCAAAGCUGUGGAAACAAACUCUUUAAUGAGAAUUUGCUGAAAGAUAAUUCUGUCAGGAAAAGAAGCCACCGUACACAUAAAUAGAGAUGCCUCUCAUACCUUUCUAAACAAUAAAGCUCAAGUAACAAUGGUGCACUCGUCAGGGAGUUUCUGAAAUAAAAGGGAUAACAGGCUAUCAUCGGACAGCACAUCAGGUCCCAUUAUGGAUGAGAGAACUGCAGUCACUUAGCUGGACUUCCCAUCACGUGAAUGUCGGUCACAUCCAUGAACUUAGGCUUCCAUAACUCAACUGGCCAGACAGCCAUUUUACAUCUUGAGCAGCUAGAAAUAGUUUUCACUUCAAGUCCAGACACUUCUUUAAUCUCAGAUCCUUCACUGCAACAAUGUGUUGGUGCCAAGUCCCCCUCCAGAGCUGCUCAGUGUCAGUGUGAUGCUAGAGCACAGGACUGUACCUAACAAUCUAAGAAACCAGUGGUAGUAAACCACAACACUAAGAAAAUCCCGACUAUUGUUUUUUAAGAGCUUGCAACUCCACUGAAAACUUUCUUACAUUAAAAUGUGGAGGCAACUAUGCCAAUGAAUGUGCAGCAGAUCUGCAGCCAUCUGUGGCAUCACAGUUAUAAGGGAAGAGGUACAAACCAUUCCAUUCCAGUUAAAGCAAAGUUUUUCUAGAUGCGGCAUUCCAUGACAUAAUAGUACAUGAUGAGAGAGACCUGGUAGCUUUUUUUGUUUGCAGAUGAGAACAGUUAUGCUACAUUAGCCAGUGCACUUUACCUAAAGAUCGAGAUUUUAAUUCAUUGUGCUUUUUUUUUCCUCCCUCAAAAAUCACUUUGCAGUCAACAGACUGCAGGAGAAAAAAACAACAUAAAUAAAACCUGUUUUGAUUAAUAACUUUGCCAAAAUUCUAUAUAGAAUUACAUUGAAAUAGGG